This 253-nucleotide ribosomal RNA is filed under the name uncultured bacterium. RNAcentral describes it as "partial 16S ribosomal RNA". It matches the Rfam family "Bacterial small subunit ribosomal RNA", at positions 524 to 776 of the family's 1533-position model. The record is from RNAcentral.
UACGUAGGGGGCUAGCGUUGUCCGGAAUCAUUGGGCGUAAAGAGCGUGUAGGCGGUCCGGUAAGUCCGUUGUGAAAGUCAGGGGCUCAACCCUUGAAUGCCGGCGGAUACUGUCGGGCUAGAGUCCGGAAAAGGCAAGUGGAAUUCCCGGUGUAGCGGUGAAAUGCGCAGAUAUCGGGAGGAACACCUAUGGCGAAGGCAGCUUGCUGGGACGGUACUGACGCUGAGACGCGAAAGCGUGGGGAGCAAACAGG